GAAUUUAACCACUUCAUUCCGCCCGGGAAUUACGGACACCAGUCUAAAAACCAAAGGACUUGGCGGUGCUUUAAAACCCCCUAGAGGAGCCUGUCCUAUAACCGAUGACCCCCGUUCAACCUCACCCUCCCUCGCUCGAUCCACCUAUAUACCGCCGCCGUCAGCUUACCCUGAGAAGGGACAGAAGUAUGCAAAAUUGGCACAGCCCCAAACGUCAGGUCGAGGUGUAGUGCAUGAGAGGGGAAGAGAUGGGCUACAUUUGCUAAACACAAGCAAACACGGAUGUAUUAUUGAAACCCGAUACUGAAGGAGGAUUUAGUAGUAAGUGAGGAGCAGCGUGCCCCACUGAAACCGGCCCUAAAGCGCGCACACACCG
RNAcentral lists this ribosomal RNA (376 nucleotides) under Arnoglossus imperialis (imperial scaldfish). RNAcentral's name for it is "partial small subunit ribosomal RNA". It matches the Rfam family "Bacterial small subunit ribosomal RNA", at positions 848 to 1392 of the family's 1533-position model. Lineage: Eukaryota; Metazoa; Chordata; Actinopteri; Pleuronectiformes; Bothidae. The record is from RNAcentral.